Long non-coding RNA from Atta colombica, 1217 nucleotides. RefSeq lists it as uncharacterized. The record is from RefSeq and is a predicted model, not a curated record. The transcript is spliced from 3 exons. Lineage: Eukaryota; Metazoa; Arthropoda; Insecta; Hymenoptera; Formicidae.
AUAAUAUUAUUAAGAUUUCUUCUUACUUUUAAGAUGAAAUGGCUGAAAAUAUUUAGAAUGGAAUAUAUUAUUUUUACAAGAAUGCGGAGACUUGAAAGAAGAGAGAAGAUUUUUACGCGAUGAGCAAAAUCCAUUUGAACUUUACAACAAGAAUUUAUUGCAUAGACUAAAUCAAGAAUUUAUUGCACAGACUAAAUCAAUUUUGAUCAUUGUAAAUUCUUAAUAAUUUAAGACAAAAUUGAAAAAAAAACAAUGUAUAACUGGCUUGUUUCCGGAAAUUCAGGUUUUGGUUACAAUUGGUUUUUUUGCUCAUGGUUCUUAUCAAAGACUAGAAACCAAUGCAAAUUAGUAAUAGCCAACUGCUAGCCGUUACAUAUGUAAAGUGGCACAAUUAAUAAAUAUACAUUUAUUACGUCAAUGGAUAAAAUUUCCCAUGACAUGAUUCCAUAUGAAAAGACUAUUGCAUAGAACAAAUUUGCACUAGCUGCACAGUUAUUUCCUGGAGCUGUUGGAGCUAUUGAUUGUAUGUACAUAAACAUUCUUGCACCACAUAUUCAUGAAGAAAUAUAUGUUAAUCACCAUGGUAAUUAUUCUUUGAAUGUUCAAGCAAUAGUCGAUCCAGAAAAUAUUAAAUAUGAAUAAAUAUGAAAAUAUUAAAUAUAAAUGCACGAUAUCCAGGUGCAAGAAAUGAUGCAUAUUGGCUUCUUCAAUUAAACGUCAUGGAGCUUUAACCAAGUAUAACUAAGGGAAAGGAAAAUUUAUUUAAUUGAUAAAUUAAUUGAAUGUUGAUUACAAGAUGCUGGAUAUCCAUUAGAGCCAUGGUUAAUGACACUGUGUGGCAAAUUAUUCUCAGUGGAGUCGCUAUCAUUAUAAUCAGAAAUUAUAUAAAGCGGAGUAUCAUUGAAAGAUUAUUUGGAAUUUUAAAGGGAACAUGGAGAUGUUUAUCUUACUAAUGUAUAUUGAUAUAUGCUCCAGAUAUUUGCGGAUUAAUUGUAAAUGCAUGUGUAGUUUUACAUAAUAUACGUGUACACUAUCGACUCUCCCCCUGGAUAGAAGAAAAUGUAAUCUUUGGUAACGCACAAAUGCAAAUGAAGCAAAUGAUGUUUGAAGAAGAAGAAGAAGAAUAAGAUAUAGGGGCCUAGAGCAAUAGCGUAUACAGAAGCAAAUUAUGCGAGAUUGGUUUCCCAAUUACCAAUGCAUAGGAGAAUGAGUAAUUC